UAUGGUAGCCAGCAGCCGCGGUAAAACGUAGGUCACAAGCGUUGUCCGGAAUUACUGGGUGUAAAGGGCGCGCAGGCGGGAAGACAAGUUGGAAGUGAAAUCCAUGGGCUCAACCCAUGAACUGCUUUCAAAACUGUUUUUCUUGAGUAGUGCAGAGGUAGGCGGAAUUCCCGGUGUAGCGGUGGAAUGCGUAGAUAUCGGGAGGAACACCAGUGGCGAAGGCGGCCUACUGGGCACCAACUGACGCUGAGGCUCGAAAGUGUGGGUAGCAAACAGG
RNAcentral lists this ribosomal RNA (277 nucleotides) under Faecalibacterium prausnitzii. Its description in RNAcentral is "partial 16S ribosomal RNA". It matches the Rfam family "Bacterial small subunit ribosomal RNA", at positions 502 to 776 of the family's 1533-position model. The record is from RNAcentral. Lineage: Bacteria; Bacillati; Bacillota; Clostridia; Eubacteriales; Oscillospiraceae.